Molecule: ribosomal RNA, 497 nt
Filed under: uncultured bacterium
Lineage: Bacteria
Description: partial 16S ribosomal RNA
Rfam family: Bacterial small subunit ribosomal RNA
Source: RNAcentral
GAUGAACGCUGGCGGCGUGCCUAAUACAUGCAAGUCGAGCGAACGGACGAGAAGCUUGCUUCUCUGAUGUUAGCGGCGGACGGGUGAGUAACACGUGGAUAACCUACCUAUAAGACUGGGAUAACUUCGGGAAACCGUAGCUAAUACCGGAUAAUAUUUUGAACCGCAUGGUUCAAAAGUGAAAGACGGUCUUGCUGUCACUUAUAGAUGGAUCCGCGCUGCAUUAGCUAGUUGGUAAGGUAACGGCUUACCAAGGCAACGAUGCAUAGCCGACCUGAGAGGGUGAUCGGCCACACUGGAACUGAGACACGGUCCAGACUCCUACGGGAGGCAGCAGUAGGGAAUCUUCCGCAAAGGGCGAAAGCCUGACGGAGCAACGCCGCGUGAGUGACGAAGGUCUUCGGAUCGUAAAACUCUGUUAUUAGGGAAGAACAUAUGUGUAAGUAACUGUGCACAUCUUGACGGUACCUAAUCAGAAAGCCACGGCUAACUACGUG